This is a long non-coding RNA of Tachysurus fulvidraco (yellow catfish), 342 nucleotides long. RefSeq lists it as uncharacterized. The transcript is spliced from 2 exons. The record is from RefSeq and is a predicted model, not a curated record. NCBI's taxonomy places the organism in Eukaryota, Metazoa, Chordata, Actinopteri, Siluriformes, Bagridae.
AUUUUUGUGGAAUAUUUGUUUUGGAAUAUAUUACCCCAGUGAAGAAAGGGAUGCGUCUAAAGGAGGCUGUGAGCUGAAAAGAAGGAUGAGACUCUUCGGCCAAUGACAAGGCGAGAAUCAAUAACAUGGCCCUCCUCCGUGGCCGACUGAUGACCCUCGUGUUUACGACCAUGUCCCGGCCUCAUCUGAUUCCUUUUCUCUGCCUGUCAGUUCCUAAUAUGAUGCUCAUGUGUGGAAUCCUGUAUUAUACAAGAUGUCUCCAUUUCAUCAGGUUAAAAUCACAGACCAGUGGAUUUGCAGCAAAAACAAUAUAAUCAAUUGUAAUAAAGCACUUGAAACAAU